This 543-nucleotide ribosomal RNA is filed under the name uncultured archaeon. RNAcentral describes it as "bacterial SSU rRNA". It matches the Rfam family "Archaeal small subunit ribosomal RNA", at positions 326 to 873 of the family's 1478-position model. The record is from RNAcentral.
CGGGGUGCACCAGGCGCGAAAACUUUGCAAUGCGGGAAACCGUGACAAGGGAACUCUGAGUGCCCGUUAAAUCGGGCUGUCCAUCGGUUUAAAUAACCGGUGAAGAAAGGGCCGGGCAAGACCGGUGCCAGCCGCCGCGGUAAUACCGGCGGCUCGAGUGGUGGCCACUAUUACUGGGCUUAAAGCGUUCGUAGCUGGUUUGUUAAGUCUCUGGGGAAAUCUUCCGGCUUAACCGGAAGGCGUCUCAGGGAUACUGGCAGACUAGGGACCGGGAGAGGUGAGAGGUACUCCAGGGGUAGGAGUGAAAUCCUGUAAUCCUUGGGGGACCACCUGUGGCGAAGGCGUCUCACCAGAACGGCUCCGACAGUGAGGGACGAAAGCUGGGGGAGCAAACCGGAUUAGAUACCCGGGUAGUCCCAGCUGUAAACGAUGCGCGUUAGGUGUAUCGGUGACCACGAGUCACCGAGGUGCCGAAGAGAAAUCGUGAAACGUGCCGCCUGGGAAGUACGGUCGCAAGGCUGAAACUUAAAGGAAUUGGCGGGG